CUCGGGGAGGGGGGGCCCCUCAGCCCGGAUUGCGACAGGGUGCAGGCCAGGCUGAGGGACUCCACUGGUGCAUG
RNAcentral lists this microRNA precursor (74 nucleotides) under Myotis brandtii (Brandt's bat). Its description in RNAcentral is "mir-9193 microRNA precursor family". It matches the Rfam family "mir-9193 microRNA precursor family". The record is from Rfam by way of RNAcentral. Lineage: Eukaryota; Metazoa; Chordata; Mammalia; Chiroptera; Vespertilionidae.